UACGGGGGGGGCAAGCGUUGUUCGGAAUUACUGGGCUUAAAGGGUUUGUAGGUGGCUUGUUAAGUCAGACGUGAAAUCCCUCAGCUUAACUGGGGAACUGCGUCUGAUACUGGAUGGCUUGGAUUUGGGAGAGGGAUGCGGAAUUCCAGGUGUAGCGGUGAAAUGCGUAGAUAUCUGGAGGAACACCGGUGGCGAAGGCGGCAUCCUGGACCAAUAUUGACGCUGAGGAGCGAAAGCCAGGGGAGCAAACGGG
This 253-nucleotide ribosomal RNA is filed under the name uncultured bacterium. Its description in RNAcentral is "partial 16S ribosomal RNA". It matches the Rfam family "Bacterial small subunit ribosomal RNA", at positions 524 to 776 of the family's 1533-position model. The record is from RNAcentral.